RNAcentral lists this small RNA (82 nucleotides) under Marmota monax (woodchuck). The record is from RNAcentral. Lineage: Eukaryota; Metazoa; Chordata; Mammalia; Rodentia; Sciuridae.
GCCGGGCAUGGUGGCGCAUGCCUAUAAUCCCAGCAGCUCGGGAAGCUGAGGCAGGAGGACAUGAGUUCAAAGCCAGCCUCAG